Molecule: ribosomal RNA, 468 nt
Filed under: uncultured Methylomonas sp.
Lineage: Bacteria; Pseudomonadati; Pseudomonadota; Gammaproteobacteria; Methylococcales; Methylococcaceae
Description: bacterial SSU rRNA
Rfam family: Bacterial small subunit ribosomal RNA
Source: RNAcentral
AACCUACGGGUGGCUGCAGUGGGGAAUAUUGGACAAUGGGCGAAAGCCUGAUCCAGCAAUACCGCGUGUGUGAAGAAGGCCUGAGGGUUGUAAAGCACUUUCAAUGGGAAGGAAUACCUAUCGGUUAAUACCCGGUAGACUGACAUUACCCAUACAAGAAGCACCGGCUAACUCCGUGCCAGCAGCCGCGGUAAUACGGAGGGUGCAAGCGUUAAUCGGAAUUACUGGGCGUAAAGCGUGCGUAGGCGGUGAUUUAAGUCAGAUGUGAAAGCCCCGGGCUUAACCUGGGAACUGCAUUUGAUACUGGGUCACUAGAGUUGAGUAGAGGAGAGUGGAAUUUCAGGUGUAGCGGUGAAAUGCGUAGAGAUCUGAAGGAACACCAGUGGCGAAGGCGGCUCUCUGGACUCAAACUGACGCUGAGGUACGAAAGCGUGGGUAGCAAACAGGAUUAGAUACCCCAGUAGUCCC